This is a long non-coding RNA of Tripterygium wilfordii, 6020 nucleotides long. RefSeq lists it as uncharacterized. The record is from RefSeq and is a predicted model, not a curated record. Lineage: Eukaryota; Viridiplantae; Streptophyta; Magnoliopsida; Celastrales; Celastraceae. The transcript has 6 exons.
CGUAAUACCAAAAAUUUCAAUCCCUAGCUCUUCACUGUCUUCUCUCUUCUCCACCUCAAUCUCACUUCUAAACCUAAGUCUAUCUUUUCUUGAGGAUGCGAGGAGGUCAGAUAAGCUAGCUGUGGUCUAAACCUAAGUCAAUCUCAACCUAAGGCUCUCUUCUCCGCUGGUGACCCCUCUUCUGCGCAGCCGUCAACUUCCAACGGUAGGUUAUCGUCUCUUUUGGUUUCUCAACUUCCGUUCACUGGGUUAGGCUUCUCCUCUUAUUGCUUGAUUUGGGGCUUUUUAUGGUUUGAUUUUGGUCUCAUUUUGCUGUGAUUUUGCUUGCUUUCUGUUGUCGAUUUGGUUCAUGAAUCUGAGAAUCAGCUAUUGUCGAUACUAAACCACUGAAUCAUUAAUCUGUGGAUCACUGAAGUACUCUUUUGGAACUCAUUGUUUUGAAAUAUAUUACACCCAACAGGUUAUUUGUUGUUGCCUGGACAGAAAUUGGUAGUUUGGAACUUUUGUAUUUAUUUCGUUGCCUUGAAUUAGUUUUUAAGAGGUAGAGGGAAAGUCUGUCUCCGUUGUGCGUGUUUUGGUAUUCUAGCCCUCAUUGAAUUGGGGGAAAUUGCAACCCUUUUCUGUUUUCUUGGUGGGGUGGAGGGGAUGGAAGUUGUUGGAGGAAUUUACAUAUCAUUUAGACUCCGUUUAGCUUAACAUAAAAUCAAACUUUUGGAAAAUCUAUAGUUUUCCUUAGAGGAAAAUAUUACGAUUUUUUAACAUAUGUUUAUGAAAAUAUGUAAAGUUUUAACUCUUUUAGUAGCUAACACUUGAGGGGCCUUUCCCUUAGUACACUUGGAUGUUAACAACCCGAAAUACUGCAUUUGUAUUUUUUUUCUUGGAGUUACCAGAUGUGUCAAUCCAUUUCCUUUAUGAUUUAGUUUUUAUUCCUUGCUCAUCAAAAAUUUUCCCCUUUGAAUUGCUUCAAUAUAUUGUUGUGAACGAUAUCAAAAUUAUCCUAAGAGUGUUAUGUUUUUCUUGAUUUUGGUAUGACAUUGCUUUAGAUGUUUAUAAGAUUAUUUUCGUGCAAAUUUUCCUUUGUGUAUAUCAUUUUAAAUUGUCUGUUACUAUUAUGUUUUAUGUUCCAGUUUUUUGAGUGCACUGUAUAUGGAUAAGAAUUGGAUGCAUUGUGAUAGAAGUGGAACUUUAUACACAGAAGGGUUGGUAAACUUCCUUGAUUUUGCAUUUGCUAACGCAUCACAAGAAGGGAAGAUUUUGUGUCAUUGUGUGAAUUGUCACCAUUGUGAGUGGGGAAGUCGGGAUGUGGUAUAUACUCAUAUGAUCAUUAAAGGGAUUGACCAGUCAUAUAUCAAUUGGUAUUUUCAUAGGGAGGGUGUCUCAUCUUCUAAUGAUGAGUUUCAUGAUACGAAUGAUGACUUGCCACAUAUCCGUGAUGAUAUAGAGAGGUUAUUGUAUGAUGCACAUCCCUUUAUUUUUGAACACCUCGAGGAUGAAGAAGUUGCCAACAAUGAUGAGCGUAGAGAAUGGAUUGAUACUAAUGUGGAGAAGUUAUCUCAAUUAUUGGAAGAUUGUAAACAAGAUCUCUUUCCAGGAGCUCCAGUUAGCAAACUUAAUUUCAUUGUUCAAUUAUUCCUAACAAAGUGCCUCCAUGGAAUGACCAAUUCAUGUUUCACAACAAUUUUAGAGAUUCUAAGAUUUUCAAUCCCACAAUUAAAGAUAAUUCCAAAAAUUUUUAAUGAGACUAGAAGCAUUAUGCGGGGGUUUGGUCUUGGUUACAAGAAAAUUGAUGCUUGUAAGAAUGACUGUAUGUUGUUUUGGAAAGAACAUGCAAAUGCUGAUUUUUGUAGUAAAUGUGGUGCUUCUAGAUGGGUCACAGUUGAGGACAUGGGUUCAGAGAAGGGGAAAAGUGUUUGUGAAAUUGUCUUAUCAUCUAAAGAUGUUUCAUUCCAUACCAAGAAACGGAUUUCAGAAAAAAUAUUUCAUCAUUUUCCAGUAAAAUCAAGGCUUCAACAUCUUUUAUGUGUUCAAAAGUUUCUACAUCUAUGAGUUGGCAUGAAAAUGAUCGUACAAAAGAUGAUAAAUUAAGGCAUCCAGCAGAGUCGGAAGCUUGAAGAGUUUUAGAUUCUUUUGACCCAAGUUUUGCUAGCGACCCUCGCAAUGUAAGACUUGGUUUAUCCAGUGAUGGUUUCAAUUCAUUCAGAACAAUGAGUAUUCAGUAUAGUAUGUGGCCUGUAGUUCUUAUGUCAUAUAAUUUACCUCUGUGGAUGAGUAUGAAGCCUCCCAAUUUUACAAUGGCUCUUCUUAUUCCUAGAAAAGAGUCUCCAGGUAACAACAUUGAUGUUUGUUUGUAUAGCCAGUAAUAGAGGAGUUGAAAGAACUUUGGGAUUUUGAUGUAAAGACCUAUGAUGCCUCAAAGCGUGAGUAUUUCUAGAUGCGUGCUGCUUUAUUAUGGACAAUAAAUGAUUUUCUUGCAUAUGCCAUGUUAUCGAGGUGGAGUACGAAAGGGAAUUUAGCAUGUCCUGUUUGUUGUUAUGACACCAAAUCUAUCUACCUGCACAAUAGUCGAAAGUUUUGUUAUCCAGGACACCUCCUACAUUUGAAUCAUAAAUGGUGUCAUGAUAAAAGGUCAUUCUAUGACGGAAAGGAAUUGGGUGCUACCCCAUCUCUUUUAUCUGGGUGUAAUGUUUUUGAGCAUGUGAAGGACAUAGAAAAUAAGUUUGAGAAGACUCAGUCAAAGAAAAGAGACAAAGAUAGUAGUCCAUGGAAGAAAAAAAGCAUAUUCUUUGAGUUACCAUAUUGGAAAUUCAAUAUAUUGCGCCAUAACCUAGACGUGAUGCUUAUAGAGAAAAAUGUAUGUGAUAAGGUACUUGCAACACUAUUAGAUAUGCAAGGAAAAUGAAAAGAUCACUUGAAAGGCUGCCUUGAUUUAGAAGACAUUGGGGUUAUACAUGAACUUCAUGCAAGAGUAGGUGAAUCCAAUAAAAUAUAUUUGCCUCCUGCAAUAUUCGCUAUGGGAUCAAAGGAGAAAGACAAUUUCUGUAAGGUGCUAAAAGGAGUUAGACUUCUAGAUAGGUAUGCAUCAAACAUUUCUCGAUGCGUGCAAAUCAAGGGACAUAAAGUAUCUGGACUUAAGAGUCAUGAUUGUCGUUUCAUUUUGCAUUAUUUGCUUCAACUGGCUGUACGAAGAUCCUUGCCUACUAAUAUUGUAGAGCUAUUGAUUAAACUAGGGGACUUUUUCAGAGGUCUUUGUGCGAAAAGUCAUUGACUUGGAUGAAAUUGAUAAGUUAGAGGAGAAAUUGUGGAAACGCUUUGUAGACUGGAAAUGAUUUUUCCUCCAUCUUUUUUUGAUAUUAUGAUGCACUUACCAAUUCAUCUAGCGCAUGAGGUUAGGCUUGGUGGACCAGUUCAAUUUCAUGGAUGUACCCUGUAGAAAGGUCUGUACGAAUUUCAAAAUAUUAAAUCUUGUACGUAUUAAGUUAUUUUACAAGUAUUCUAACUUUAUUUUGCAAGCAACAAGGAUCAAAAUCCAAUUACUGGUGAUGUUACUUACUAUGAAGUAGUGAAGCAAAUAAUUGAGUUAGAUUAUUAUGGACAUCAAAGCUUUGUAUUGUUUGGUUGUGAUUGAUUCCAAUGGAGGAGAGAUGAAUUUCAGUUUCAAAUGGUUAUCUUCAAGAAAUUGAUUUACAAAAAUGAUCCUUUUAUGUUAGCAUCCCAAGUGCAUCAGGUUUUUUAUGUCCAAGAUCCUAUGGAGCAUGAUUGGUAUAAUGUUAUCAAAGCAAUACCAAGAGACAAUUUUGACAUGGAUGGUGAGCCGAGUACCGAUGACAUGGAAAUAGAUAAUUGACGGAUUGGAAGGACAAUUUAUAGUCGUUUUUCCUAUAAGGCUUCAAUGAUAUUUAUGUAAGUUUAGAGUUUGUUAUGUGUUACCUUGUUUCAAUUUUCUAGUAUUUCUUAUAUUGAAGUCUUGUAAGUUGCUUUAUAUGAGAAAUGAUUUGUGCUAUUUUUUAACUAUUCUAUGCUACUUUUUAUGUACUAAUGUAUUUUUUAUUUUACUUAUGCAAUUUUUAAAUGGGAAAGGAGAAGAAAAACUCAUCUAGAGUUAGUAAGAAAGUAAGUCCUCAGGUUGGAAAACAAGGGAUGCAAGAGGAUUUCCUUCUAGUGACCACCAUGCUAGAUCUAGAGGAAACUUACAGAUUGGAGGACGAGUAACUAGUUCUAGAGGAAGCUUAGAAGGUGGACAAUCUAGUGGGUAUGGAGGAAACUUACAAGCUGAACAUUGAAGUGGUUCCGAAAGUAAAUGUAAAGAUGUACAACAAAAAACUAAGCGAGCAAGAUCACAUUCUCAGACUAAACUUAAUUGUGUCCCUAUAUGGUUGCGACAACCAAGAGAGAUAGAAACUAAAAGUGAAAGUGAAGAGAAUUCAGAUUCCAGUGAUGGUGGUAGUGCUGAUAAUUCAAGUCGCAUGGAUGGGGAUGAAGAAUCUGAUCUUGAUCUAUUGUAUGCUAUGGAGGAGGAGUUAGAGCAAGAAACUUAUGGUGAACCUAUUGACACGGAAGAUGAAUGUACUGAUGGAUUGGAAAAUGAACCAAUAAUUCCUACCAAUCUAGUUGGUCAAGGUAAUAUUUGCAAUAUGUUGUUUUAUAUGUUAUAUUUUUACAAAUAUACUAACAUAAUUUUAUCUUAGAAAAGGGUAUACAGGAGAAAAACAAGGUGUUUGAAUAUAGUAGGCAGGGGUCUCAAUGAUCGGCCUACUAUUAUAUUGAACGAUAAAAAUCAACCCAUUGGUCCAGAGAGUCAUGUUGCAUCAUUGAGCUCAUACAUAAGAACAUUGACUAUGAAUGUCCACUUGUUCCCCUUAGCCUCAAAAAUUGGAAGAAGCUGCCUAAAAAUGAGAAGGACGAAUUAUGGAAACUGAUUCAGGAAAAAUUCAUCAUUGAUGAACUUGCAAAAAGAUAGGUAUUGGCCACCAUUGCAUCUGCUUGGUGCUGCUGGAAAAGCCGAUUGAAGAGAAAACAUUUUAAGAAACACACUAAAGGUUUGCACGCCUAAAAGAUCGUCCUAAGGCGGUACCCAUUGCACAAUGGAAAAAACUUGUGAAAAGAUGGAGUUCAAAGAAGGCUAAGGAUUUUAGCACUACAAAAAAGAUUCUAGAGAUUUUUUUUAAUGUUUAAACUGAACUGGAGGUGUGAAUACCAAUUUACUUGCAAUUAAGAAGUGAGGCCAAUACAAAGAAUAUGAUGGAGGCAAAGUAUACUCAAACUAUGGGAUCAAAAAGUUUUGCUCGAGUGUGAGAAUAGGAGAAAAGGAAAAGACAAAGUGAAGAUGAACCAUCCGAAGUAGAUAUGUUUAUGUUGACUCAAAAGAGAAACGAUAGGACAUUAAAACUUGAUGAAGAUAUAAGAAUUGAGCUUGAAAAUUUAUCGUCCCAAUCAAUUGACACCCUCGAAAGUAGCACUGCGAGGGAGAAUUUCUUGAAGAAAGUGUUAAAAGAUCAUCUUGGUCGUGCGCCUGUUUAUGGAAAAGGAGUUGCACCUUCAGAUUUGAAGAAAAAUAUGACAAGAGCACAAUCCUCUUAAAGCUUGGCUGCUGGACAAAGAAGGAUAAUGGAGCUUGAGGAAAGGUAUCAGGCAAUGAUCUCUGGUUUGGGUACUUUCAUUGCAAACAUGGCAACAGCUUAUCCCAAUGUGGAACUACCUCCUGGAUUGGUUCAUUCUCCUAUGACUGGCAGAGGCUCACUUCAUGAUGCUUCAAGUGCUCCUCGUGUCAACGAAGACUGUUCCACAACUACAAAUAUCAUGGAUCAGCACAAUGAAGAGGGAAAUGAAGUUGAGCAAGGAGACCAUGAUCAAGUUGGACAAGACAAUAUCUGAAUACUUGUUAGCUAAUAAAGCUAUUCCACUCCUUUAAUUUUGUGAACUGCAUUACUUUGAAUUUAUAUUGUUAGAUUAUGCUUCUGAUAGUUCGAGUUAUAUGUAUGCAACUGAGGAUAUUUAUGCAAAUUGGAUAAGUUAUUGUUGUU